ACGGAAGGCAGCAGUGGGGAAUAUUGCACAAUGGGCGAAAGCCUGAUGCAGCGACGCCGCGUGAGUGAAGAAGUAUCUCGGUAUGUAAAGCUCUAUCAGCAGGGAAGAAAAUGACGGUACCUGACUAAGAAGCCCCGGCUAACUACGUGCCAGCAGCCGCGGUAAUACGUAGGGGGCAAGCGUUAUCCGGAUUUACUGGGUGUAAAGGGAGCGUAGACGGUUUGGCAAGUCUGAAGUGAAAUGCGGGGGCUCAACUCCUGAACUGCUUUGGAAACUGUCGAACUAGAGUGCAGGAGAGGUAAGUGGAAUUCCUAGUGUAGCGGUGAAAUGCGUAGAUAUUAGGAGGAACGCCAGUGGCGAAGGCGGCUUACUGGACUGUAACUGACGUUGAGGCUCGAAAGCGUGGGGAGCAAACAGGAUUAGAUACCCUGGUA
This 434-nucleotide ribosomal RNA is filed under the name uncultured Lachnospiraceae bacterium. RNAcentral's name for it is "partial 16S ribosomal RNA". It matches the Rfam family "Bacterial small subunit ribosomal RNA", at positions 341 to 792 of the family's 1533-position model. Lineage: Bacteria; Bacillati; Bacillota; Clostridia; Lachnospirales; Lachnospiraceae. The record is from RNAcentral.